UACGUAGGGUGCAAGCGUUAAUCGGAAUUACUGGGCGUAAAGCGUGCGCAGGCGGUUUUGUAAGUUUGUCGUGAAAGCCCCGGGCUCAACCUGGGAAUUGCGAUGAAGACUGCAAGGCUUGAAUCUGGCAGAGGGGGGUAGAAUUCCACGUGUAGCAGUGAAAUGCGCAGAGAUGUGGAGGAACACCGGAUGGCGAAGGCAGCCCCCUGGGUCAAGAUUGACGCUCAUGCAC
RNAcentral lists this ribosomal RNA (232 nucleotides) under uncultured bacterium. Its description in RNAcentral is "partial 16S ribosomal RNA". It matches the Rfam family "Bacterial small subunit ribosomal RNA", at positions 524 to 754 of the family's 1533-position model. The record is from RNAcentral.